AGAGUUUGAUUCUGGCUCAGAACGAACGCUGGCGGAGUGCUUAAGACAUGCAAGUCGUACGAGAACGUCACCUUCGGGUGAUUAGUAAAGUGGCGCACGGGUGAGUAACGCGUGGGUAAUCUGCCUUCGAGUGUGGGACAACCCCGGGAAACUGGAGCUAAUACCGCAUAAGACCACGAGAUCUUCGGGUCAUGUGGGGAAAAGAUGGCCUCUUCUUGAAAGCUAUCGCUCGGAGAUGAGCCCGCGUCCCAUUAGCUUGUUGGUGAGGUAAAAGCUCACCAAGGCGACGAUGGGUAGCUGGUCUGAGAGGACGAUCAGUCACACUGGAACUGAGACACGGUCCAGACUCCUACGGGAGGCAGCAGUCGGGAAUAUUGGACAAUGGGGGCAACCCUGAUCCAGCAAUACCGCGUGUAUGAAGAAGGCCUGAGGGUUGUAAAGUACUUUCAAUUGUGAAGAAAAGUUUAAGGUUAAUAACCUUAGACCUUGACGUUAACUUUAGAAGAAGCACCGGCUAACUCCGUGCCAGCAGCCGCGGUAAUACGGAGGGUGCGAGCGUUAAUCGGAAUUACUGGGCGUAAAGCGUACGUAGGCGGUUAUUUAAGUCAGAUGUGAAAGCCCCGGGCUCAACCUGGGAACUGCAUUCGAUACUGCAAGACUAGAGUGUGGUAGAGGGAAGUGGAAUUCCGGGCGUAGCGGUGAAAUGCGUAGAUAUCCGGAGGAACACCAGUGGCGAAGGCGGCUCUCUGGACCAUCACUGACGCUGAGGCCCGAAAGCGUGGGUAGCAAACAGGAUUAGAUACCCUGGUAGUCCACGCCCUAAACGAUGGGUGUCAACUAGCCGUUGGGAGGAUUGCCUCUUGGUGGCGCAGCUAACGCGGUAAGUUGACCGCCUGGGGAGUACGGCCGCAAGGUUAAAACUCAAAUGAAUUGACGGGGGCCCGCACAAGCGGUGGAGCAUGUGGUUUAAUUCGAUGCAACGCGAAAAACCUUACCUACUCUUGACAUCCUCGGACCGCUUCAGAGAUGAAGUUUCCUCUUCGGAGGCCCUGUGACAGGUGCUGCAUGGCUGUCGUCAGCUCGUGCCGUGAGGUGUUCGGUUAAGUCCGGCAACGAGCGCAACCCCUACCCUUAAUUGCCAUCGGGUUAUGCCGGGCACUUUAGGGGGACUGCCGGUGACAAGCCGGAGGAGGGUGGGGAUGACGUCAAGUCCUCAUGGCCUUUAUGACCAGGGCUACACACGUGUUACAAUGGGAGUUACAGAGGGAAGCUAAACCGCGAGGUCAUGCCAAUCCCAGAAAAACUUUCUCAGUUCGGAUCGCAGUCUGCAACUCGACUGCGUGAAGCUGGAAUCGCUAGUAAUCGCGGAUCAGCACGCCGCGGUGAAUACGUUCCCGGGCCUUGUACACACCGCCCGUCACACCAUGGGAGCCGACAAGGGCAGAAGUCGCCGAGCUAACCUUCGGGAAGCAGGCGCCCAAGCUGUUGUUGACGACUGGGGUGAAGUCGUAACAAGGUAACC
RNAcentral lists this ribosomal RNA (1522 nucleotides) under uncultured prokaryote. RNAcentral's name for it is "partial 16S ribosomal RNA". It matches the Rfam family "Bacterial small subunit ribosomal RNA". The record is from RNAcentral.